GAGAAAGAUAAACCUGACAGAAAAUACAGCAACGGUAAAUCUACAAUCUGUGGCUUCUCACCUGGAGUGGAGACCUGCUUUGGCGAUGCAGGCUCAGCUGUGGAGUACGAAGGAUAUCUGCAAGGAAUUAUUGUUAGCCAGCCUGCGGAUACAUGUGCUAACUCCAUUGUAAUGCUGGACAUCUGCCAGUACAUGGAGUGGAUUGGCAAAACAAUGAAGGAAAACUGAUGAAUACUUUCCAGAUAUUCCUUAUUUAAUAAUUAAAAUGACUAUCAUAUUUACCUAUUUCUUUGUGCUUAUUAGUCAAACUAUAGCCUGUAAUCUUAGAUAAAUAUUUCAAAAGUAUGAGUUAAGACCAUAGUAAAAUACAGUACUUUUGUCCAGCUGCCCAUUUUCCCAUCAUUCAUCUCCAUAAAUAAAAAGAUAGAACUAUCAUAACUUCA
This is a long non-coding RNA of Poeciliopsis prolifica (blackstripe livebearer), 443 nucleotides long. RefSeq lists it as uncharacterized. Lineage: Eukaryota; Metazoa; Chordata; Actinopteri; Cyprinodontiformes; Poeciliidae. The transcript has 2 exons. The record is from RefSeq and is a predicted model, not a curated record.